RNAcentral lists this ribosomal RNA (704 nucleotides) under uncultured bacterium. RNAcentral describes it as "bacterial SSU rRNA". It matches the Rfam family "Bacterial small subunit ribosomal RNA", at positions 69 to 746 of the family's 1533-position model. The record is from RNAcentral.
GAUCGGAGUGCUUGCACUCUGUGAAACAAGAUACAGGCUAGCGGCGGACGGGUGAGUAACACGUGGGUAACCUGCCCAAGAGAUCGGGAUAACACCUGGAAACAGAUGCUAAUACCGGAUAACAACAGAUGAUGCCUAUCAACUGUUUAAAAGAUGGUUCUGCUAUCACUCUUGGAUGGACCUGCGGUGCAUUAGCUAGUUGGUAGGGUAACGGCCUACCAAGGCGAUGAUGCAUAGCCGAGUUGAGAGACUGAUCGGCCACAUUGGGACUGAGACACGGCCCAAACUCCUACGGGAGGCAGCAGUAGGGAAUCUUCCACAAUGGACGCAAGUCUGAUGGAGCAACGCCGCGUGAGUGAAGAAGGGUUUCGGCUCGUAAAGCUCUGUUGUUGGUGAAGAAGGACAGGGGUAGUAACUGACCUUUGUUUGACGGUAAUCAAUUAGUAAGUCACGGCUAACUACGUGCCAGCAGCCGCGGUAAUACGUAGGUGGCAAGCGUUGUCCGGAUUUAUUGGGCGUAAAGCGAGUGCAGGCGGCUCGAUAAGUCUGAUGUGAAAGCCUUCGGCUCAACCGGAGAAUUGCAUCAGAAACUGUCGAGCUUGAGUACAGAAGAGGAGAGUGGAACNNNNUGUGUAGCGGUGAAAUGCGUAGAUAUAUGGAAGAACACCGGUGGCGAAGGCGGCUCUCUGGUCUGUUACUGACGC